UGGAGAGGGGAGAGCAGUAUCACCACUCACCUCGGGAGCCGUAAUCCCACCCAGACACCGGGCAGCCUCGGCACGAGUGAAGUAGCAACUGUCCGACGGCCACCCGUGAAGCAGCCGGGCUAUAUCCAAACGUGUUGACACCUCCACUUGUACUGUAAUUCUGCAGAGCUGCUGUGCAGGGAGUUCCACACUUUUGAUCAAGCUAUCAAGAAGGAAUUGAGGUGGAUUUCCAAAUCAAGGUGGAUCCAUCAACUGCACAAGUCAGGGGUGCGAUGUAACACUUUCUGUUUGACUGGAUAAGUGCACUACGACUCUCAAGAAACUUGCCA
Mobula hypostoma (lesser devil ray) is the source of this 329-nucleotide long non-coding RNA. RefSeq lists it as uncharacterized. The transcript has 3 exons. The record is from RefSeq and is a predicted model, not a curated record. Lineage: Eukaryota; Metazoa; Chordata; Chondrichthyes; Myliobatiformes; Myliobatidae.